RNAcentral lists this non-coding RNA (182 nucleotides) under Gammaproteobacteria bacterium. RNAcentral describes it as "6S RNA". It matches the Rfam family "6S / SsrS RNA". From Rfam's summary of the family: E. coli 6S RNA was the first non coding RNA to be sequenced, but its function was unknown until recently. It consists of 184 nucleotides that fold into an extended hairpin structure with a large single-stranded internal bulge. Lineage: Bacteria; Pseudomonadati; Pseudomonadota; Gammaproteobacteria. The record is from RNAcentral.
UGUCACCUGCGGUGUUCGAAUUGUUCUGAAUACCCUUAGAACCUAAAUCACAAACUGGGGACCGAAAUCGGGUAUGUUGUUGUGCAGGUCCGCCAAGCGGAAAGCCUGAUACAUUCCGUUGGCCCCCACUUGAACCUUCCGGUUCAAGGAUCAGGGACAGUUUCGGCACAUGCGGGUGACAC